This 32-nucleotide transfer RNA is filed under the name Ditrichum lineare. RNAcentral describes it as "partial transfer RNA-Phe". The record is from RNAcentral. Lineage: Eukaryota; Viridiplantae; Streptophyta; Bryopsida; Pseudoditrichales; Ditrichaceae.
GCCGGAAAGCUCAGUGGAGAGCAGCAGUACUU